This 1346-nucleotide ribosomal RNA is filed under the name uncultured bacterium. Its description in RNAcentral is "partial 16S ribosomal RNA". It matches the Rfam family "Bacterial small subunit ribosomal RNA", at positions 28 to 1381 of the family's 1533-position model. The record is from RNAcentral.
GACGAACGCUGUCGGCGUGCUUAACACAUGCAAGUCGAACGGAAAGGCCCUGCUUUUGUGGGGUGCUCGAGUGGCGAACGGGUGAGUAACACGUGAGUAACCUGCCCUUGACUUUGGGAUAACUUCAGGAAACUGGGGCUAAUACCGGAUAGGAGCUCCUGCUGCAUGGUGGGGGUUGGAAAGUUUCGGCGGUUGGGGAUGGACUCGCGGCUUAUCAGCUUGUUGGUGGGGUAGUGGCUUACCAAGGCUUUGACGGGUAGCCGGCCUGAGAGGGUGACCGGCCACAUUGGGACUGAGAUACGGCCCAGACUCCUACGGGAGGCAGCAGUGGGGAAUAUUGCACAAUGGGCGGAAGCCUGAUGCAGCAACGCCGCGUGCGGGAUGACGGCCUUCGGGUUGUAAACCGCUUUCGCCUGUGACGAAGCGUGAGUGACGGUAAUGGGUAAAGAAGCACCGGCUAACUACGUGCCAGCAGCCGCGGUGAUACGUAGGGUGCGAGCGUUGUCCGGAUUUAUUGGGCGUAAAGGGCUCGUAGGUGGUUGAUCGCGUCGGAAGUGUAAUCUUGGGGCUUAACCCUGAGCGUGCUUUCGAUACGGGUUGACUUGAGGAAGGUAGGGGAGAAUGGAAUUCCUGGUGGAGCGGUGGAAUGCGCAGAUAUCAGGAGGAACACCAGUGGCGAAGGCGGUUCUCUGGGCCUUUCCUGACGCUGAGGAGCGAAAGCGUGGGGAGCGAACAGGCUUAGAUACCCUGGUAGUCCACGCUGUAAACGGUGGGUACUAGGUGUGGGGUCCAUUCCACGGGUUCCGUGCCGUAGCUAACGCUUUAAGUACCCCGCCUGGGGAGUACGGCCGCAAGGCUAAAACUCAAAGGAAUUGACGGGGCCCCGCACAAGCGGCGGAGCAUGCGGAUUAAUUCGAUGCAACGCGUAGAACCUUACCUGGGUUUGACAUGGAUCGGGAGUGCUCAGAGAUGGGUGUGCCUCUUUUGGGGUCGGUUCACAGGUAGUGCAUGCCUGUCGUCAGCUCGUGUCGUGAGAUGUUGGGUUAAGUCCCGCAACGAGCGCAACCCUUGUUCACUGUUGCCAGCACGUUAUGGUGGGGACUCAGUGGAGACCGCCGGGGUCAACUCGGAGGAAGGUGGGGAUGACGUCAAGUCAUCAUGCCCCUUAUGUCCAGGGCUUCACGCAUGCUACAAUGGCUGGUACAGAGAGUGGCGAGCCUGUGAGGGUGAGCGAAUCUCGGAAAGCCGGUCUCAGUUCGGAUUGGGGUCUGCAACUCGACCUCAUGAAGUCGGAGUCGCUAGUAAUCGCAGAUCAGCAACGCUGCGGUGAAUACGUUCCCGGGGCU